GGCUGGUUUUGUAUUCAGGUCUUCCUACCUGCCUUAAAUGAUGUCUAUAUUAGCAUUUUCUAUCCACCUAGGCAACCAGGUGGCACAGUGGAUAAAGUGCCAGUUUGGUGUUUGGAAGACUCAGCUUCAUGAGUUCAAAUCUUGACUCAGACUUGUAAUAGUGGUGUGACCCUGGGCAUGUCAUUUAAUACUAUUUGCCUCAGUUACCUGACCGGUAAAAUCAUCUGGAGAAGAAAAAGGACAAAGUCCCUGGCUGAGAGUACAAGAACAUUCCAAGGAACCAAUGGAAGACUGAGAGUACUUCCAUCAACCAUCAACAACUUCUACUACUGUGGAAAUAGAAAUGGAUUUGAAUUCAAAGAUUUGUGUUUAAAUCUUGGCUCUGAUUCUCCCUAUGUAUGUAUGUAUGUAUGUAUGUAUGUAUGUGUAUAUAUAUAUAUAUAUAUAUAUAUGACUAUGAGCAAAUUCCUUCACCUUUCUAGACAUCACUUUUUCCUCUAUAAAAUGA
Molecule: long non-coding RNA, 508 nt
Organism: Monodelphis domestica (gray short-tailed opossum)
Lineage: Eukaryota; Metazoa; Chordata; Mammalia; Didelphimorphia; Didelphidae
Source: Ensembl